GACGAACGCUGGCGGCGUGCCUAAUACAUGCAAGUAGAACGCUGAAGGAGGAGCUUGCUCUUCUGGAUGAGUUGCGAACGGGUGAGUAACGCGUAGGUAACCUGCCUGGUAGCGGGGGAUAACUAUUGGAAACGAUAGCUAAUACCGCAUAACAGUAGAUGUUGCAUGACAUUUGCUUAAAAGGUGCAAUUGCAUCACUACCAGAUGGACCUGCGUUGUAUUAGCUAGUUGGUGGGGUAACGGCUCACCAAGGCGACGAUACAUAGCCGACCUGAGAGGGGGAGCGGCCACACUGGGACUGAGACACGGCCCAGACUCCUACGGGAGGCAGCAGUAGGGAAUCGUCGGCAAGGGACGGAAGUCUGACCGAGCAACGCCGCGGGAGUGAAGAAGGGUUUCGGAUCGUAAAGCUCGGUUGUAAGAGAAGAACGAGUGUGAGAGUGGAAAGUUCACACUGUGACGGUAACUGACCAGAAAGGGACGGCUAACUACGUG
RNAcentral lists this ribosomal RNA (495 nucleotides) under uncultured bacterium. Its description in RNAcentral is "partial 16S ribosomal RNA". It matches the Rfam family "Bacterial small subunit ribosomal RNA", at positions 28 to 507 of the family's 1533-position model. The record is from RNAcentral.